Molecule: long non-coding RNA, 693 nt
Filed under: Rattus norvegicus (Norway rat)
Lineage: Eukaryota; Metazoa; Chordata; Mammalia; Rodentia; Muridae
Description: long non-coding RNA NONRATT012486
Source: RNAcentral
GGGCAGCGGAGUAAGGGAGCAGCGGUCCUCGCGGUUCUUGGCGAGGGAAGAAUUAAUUAUUGUGAGUAGUUCUGGAUUAGAGACCUUGUGGAUCCGAAAGAAUAAGUCUUUGGGUUCUUGUUAAGGUAGUGCAUUUCAGGCUGCUACUUGAAUCAUAUAAUGGAGAAAGCUGCAUGGAGGAACAGUUGGGCAGAAGAAACAAGAUUUUCUGAGAAAGCCGUUUUUUUAAUUUUGAUUUUUCUCAAGACCAAAAAGUGAAUACUACCUGUCGUCUGUCUACAUUAUUGGUUUGGAGGUACCAAGUAUAUGAUGCUGGAAAUUUUUAAACACAAACUGCUAAUGAAUGAAAGGCUUAAAACAGAUAUAUUUUUUAAGCUACCAGAAAAAUGACUAUGAAAACAGGGAUCAAGAAGACUGAUGGAAAACAAUUUAGGAGGAAACCAUAGAAAAUGUACACUUCAGAAGAGAAAUGUAACCAGAGAACUCAGAAAAGGAAAAUACACCAUGUAUGCCCUCAGAAGGGGAAAAAGAUAUAUAUUCGUGUACAUGAGAUUACUCAAAUAGAUAAUCAAAUAUAUCAGUGCCUUGAACGUGAACAAAACUUUUGUGAAAACUUAGCACAAAUGUGUGAAAGAACAUAUACUGGGGAGAAACCUUAUAGAUGUGAUAUGUGUGAGAAAACCUUCAUCCAAA